This 399-nucleotide ribosomal RNA is filed under the name uncultured bacterium. Its description in RNAcentral is "partial 16S ribosomal RNA". It matches the Rfam family "Bacterial small subunit ribosomal RNA", at positions 360 to 776 of the family's 1533-position model. The record is from RNAcentral.
AAUAUUGGACAAUGGGCGAAAGCCUGAUCCAGCCAUGCCGCGUGAGUGAUGAAGGNCCNNGGGUUNUNAAGCUCUUUCAGUGGNNNNNAUAAUGACGGUCACCACAGAAGAAGCCCCGGCUAACUUCGUGCCAGCAGCCGCGGUAAUACGAAGGGGGCUAGCGUUGUUCGGAUUUACUGGGCGUAAAGCGCACGUAGGCGGAUUGUUAAGUUAGAGGUGAAAUCCCGGGGCUCAACCCCGGAACUGCCUUUGAUACUGGCAAUCUCGAGUCCGGAAGAGGUGAGUGGAAUUCCGAGUGUAGAGGUGAAAUUCGUAGAUAUUCGGAGGAACACCAGUGGCGAAGGCGGCUCACUGGUCCGGUACUGACGCUGAGGUGCGAAAGCGUGGGGAGCAAACAGG